AAUUUCUUCCGGGUUGCAUUAGAUUCCCAAACUUGCGUUCGGGUGCUUCCUUUUCCCUCCAUGGAGAAGCAGAAGCAGAAGAGCGGCAUUAUUAGAUGCGGUCAUUUGAAUAACUCAGAUUAUUGGUGGUUUUAUGUUGAAUCUCUCCUGAUCUGCCAGGCUUUGAUGCAAUGGCAAUGGUAACUGUAGCCUUUUAUGCAAAUUUUGCUCUUUUCAUUUGCUGAGCUGAAUGGUUUCUAUGGGCAGAUUUAUGACCCAUAACAAAGUUCACAAUGCUUCUUUCAACUAUCGGAACUGAUGGAUAAGUAAGUUGUUCUAUAGUCAACACAAUGAUAUUUGGUGGAUGGCCAAUGGUGCAACUGGAGUCACAAUGGUUGGGUCUCUUUCAGAGCAGACUGAACACCUAUUUGAAAGUUGUAUUCAUCCUGUUGGGGUUGCUGAAAGUUAUGAGAUGGCUUCUUUUUGAGUUGGCACUGCAAACAUACAACCUUCAGUUUGGACGUGCUUGACUACUUUGUCCCAAAGAUGUUUCACCAGGCAGGACUCUUUGGGACACACAGCACCAAACGGGCAAGUUUCAUUGGAAAGUAGCCAAGCAUGACACUAUACAUCUUGUUAAUCUGAUGGGAGAAAUAUACACCAGCCUUAUCUUUCUCCUUCUCCUAUCAAAGAUUGAACUGCAGGCCUGCAGCAAGGCGGUUGGACCAAUUUGAGAGGAAGACUGUUUGGGAAGAGGAAUAUUGGAUAGAAAAGAAAGGAAUUGGUAUUCAAUUUUUCUAUCUUCUUGCUUGAAAACUGAAAAGUAAAAGAUUGGUGGCUGGGAAUGUGAGCAGAUUCUGGAGGAAAUCUGCAUAGAAAGCCCGCUUCAAAGGGGUGGAUGUUCAUGGCAACUCCUCUUCGGAACACCCAUUCCCAAUUCCAUCCAUCUCUGAAACUCUCUAAUUUGAAUGGCACUGUUAACUUGUCAAGAAUUGGAUCAACACUUGAUUUGUGAUAUCAAACCACUCGUAUUUUAAA
Long non-coding RNA from Malania oleifera, 1017 nucleotides. RefSeq lists it as uncharacterized. NCBI's taxonomy places the organism in Eukaryota, Viridiplantae, Streptophyta, Magnoliopsida, Santalales, Ximeniaceae. The transcript is spliced from 4 exons. The record is from RefSeq and is a predicted model, not a curated record.